RNAcentral lists this long non-coding RNA (6135 nucleotides) under Homo sapiens (human). RNAcentral describes it as "non-protein coding lnc-CBX4-4:1". Lineage: Eukaryota; Metazoa; Chordata; Mammalia; Primates; Hominidae. The record is from RNAcentral.
CCUCACUUGGGAAGGUCCUAGUAGAAGGCAUUCCUUCUGAGUCUCCUGGCCCUACAGCUUCUCACCCCUGCUGCUCCCCAAGACCUGACCCGGACCAAUCAGCUGCAUCUCUGCACCAAGUGCCACCCCCACCGUGCACUGCUCGCACCUCACGCUCCCCAUGGGCUGGCCCGGACCCCAGUGAGGUCUGCACCUCUCGGACCAGCCAGGACCUCGGAAGCCAUGAGCUGGGUGUUCAGGGCUUGGCGGAGGAGACGCUGCUCCGCGGGGGAUGGAGAAGCCCCGCCCCUCCACAACUCCCUUAAUCUGGAUGCAAUUAGAGGAAACCAGCCAAAAACCCCGCGGCAGCUGUUGCCCCGGGAUUAUUCCCAGCCAGCGAGAGGCAUUAGGGCGAUAAUUCAGUCAUUAGACUUCUAGCCUUCCCACCGCCAGAACGUGCAAAUAGGGGAUAAUCAGCCCUGCACGGCCAUCCUCAGCAAUGCUGCUUAUUUAACCCAUUUUUUAAAAUGACACUUAAUGUUAUUGGCUGGCGUACGUGUGUGCGCAUACUUAAAAGUUGAUGCGUGGUGCAGCUCUGCUGCUAAUGUCUGCUGACAGCGUCGCCCGAUGUUGCUCAGGGCCUCUGGGAAGAGGGGACACCUUUGAUGUGGGCGUGCUGGCACCCAAGAGGCAACGUGGUCAGGCUCGAUGCUUGCCAGCCCUGGAAGGUCCCGCCAGGGUUGGGGGGUCGGGUGAGCACUCAGAGAUCUGGGGAGGAAGCGAGGAGCCUGGUGUCCUCACCAGGUGCAGAGGGGAAAUGCGUACUGCUCCAGAAGGUUCUGACUCAAGUCUCGGCCCUGAGGACUCAGAACUCACAAGUCAUGGAUCAAGUACAGAGGGAGGGAGGGCCCCAGCCCACCCCUGCGGGGGAGGAGGAGGGUCUGAAGGUGGGAGGGCAGCUCCAUGAGCAGCCACUGUUCCUGACCAGCCGAAGUGCCAGGCAGGGGGAGGUUUCCAUGUCCAGGAGGGAGAGGACCUCCACCCUCUGACCUUUCAGUUUUCCAUAGCAGCCCAGUGUGAAGCUCGGCGGGGGUGGGCAGGGCAUCAGGACAAGAUGAAGAUGCUGGCUCUGGAAUGAGGACUCCCCUUGGGCUAAGGGGUAGUGGCUGGCAGAGGUUGCCCAGCUCUUUUGGAGGCCACAGGGAAUAGAGGUGGGGUGGUGCUUCCGUUCCUGUGAGGCCCGCCCCCCUGAGCCCCCUCGUCUGCUUCUUGUUUGGCAGAAAUAGAUGUGGGGCACAGCCCCUAGAUGAUGGGAAUCUGCCCAAGCUGUGCCCUCUGGGGAAUGAAAUCUUGCUCCUCGUGCAGCUUCCCCUUUCCCUUGCGGGGUGGGGGCUGGGGGUGCCAAGGCUCCACCCUUGGAGGGGGUUGCUGGGGGUGCCAAGGCUCCACCCUUUGCUCGCUGGGCAGAGGGAAGGAAGCACCUCCCUGUAUGCUCUGCAGGGGCCCCUGCAGGCCACUUUGCCUCAGAGGAAGGAGGAGAGGUCCCCUGGGAAAAUGCGCACACACACACACACACACACACACACACACGCACAUGCACACACGCACGCAUGCACACACACACACACAUAUGUGCAGGGGUGCAGCCUAAGUCAGUGGAGCCAGGACUGGCUGCGCAGCUGGGCCUGCCCCAUUCUUGGAGUCCCCAGGGAAUGAGCCUCAGGAUCCACUUCGUCCCUUGUUUCUAAGCCAGGCUGCACGGCCGUUCCUGGGUGUGAAAGCAUUCUGUCCUGUCUCCAGUCAGAGGGAACCGCCCCCAAACUAGAAAGCUAAUUUCCCCCGAAGGUUCAUGAAGCCAGAGGCAUGCCCUUGGGGGUUGGUCGGGAGAAGGGUGAGAGGCAGUGCUGUGGAAGGGGCCUGGCCCCUGCUGCCUGCGAUUCUCCCCGGGUAUGUGGCCUUCUGCCUCCUUCAGCCUCAGUUUCCUCACCUGUAACAUGAGAAUAAUGAUGCCUGCCUGCCCAGGCCACCUCCUGGGAGUGCAUUGGGGACUCUAAGUGUAAAACUGUCAUGAGGAUGGUUUAUGAAGUCCCAGGGACCACACCUGCCACUCAGGGAAGAGACCGCUGACCUCAGCCAUCAGCCGUGUGCAUCGUGAGGGGCAGCGAGCUCAGGACGGAGAGCUCUCCCUUGGUUCGGAGUCAGCACACCUGCACUCCCACACGCCCACCCAGCUGUGUGUCCUCCGCCGAGGGCGAGCCUCUCUGUGACUCUUCUGUAAAAUGCACCCCAUUCUGCCCACUCCUGCCACGAGACCCAUCCUCUGCGAUCCCGCCAGGCAUGUGUGUGUGAAUGCAUGUGCAAAGCUCUCCAUCAGAAGGGUGGUGUGGGCCCUGCAGGUCCUACCCCUCGGCCUUGAAGCUCCCUCGGGCUGCGGACUCUGCCUCCUGGGUCUGAGCAUUAGAACCAGGAGAGGGGUGUCCCUGGGCAGAGCCAGGGGUGCAAACAGCCUGCAGCCAUCUGGCCUUUUAAGUAUAGUGUGUCGCAUUUCCGGGUAGGAAGGUAGCAUUUCAAGUUCAAAGAGAGGUCAAGUCAUGCAACCAUCUUUCCUCCAGCACUUUUGGGGUAAGGAGGACAGUUUUUGUUAUGGUUUAGGGGAAAUUUUCAUGAAAUUUCCACCAUUACCAAUAGAUUACUGAUGUCCAUGGCAAGUGAUCUGUUCUUGGUAUUUUGUUUUGUUUUGUUUUGGUUUUUAAAUGUAAUCACCCAUUGGUCAGGCCCAGGACUGGUCACCAUGAGCUCUGCUAGCCACGGCCCCAACGAUGCUUCCGGCUCUCAUGGAUUCCACAGCAAAUAAAACUGUACUGACAACAGAUGCACGCUGUACAGUGCCUCUGGAAGGUGCGGUGGGACUUGCUGGGUCAAAGCACGGCAGGCUCUGUGCUGGGCAAACAGGGCCCCGUGGCAGCCCAAGGGCAGCCUGCAGACGCCAGUGUGCCCGGCUUCUCCCAUGUUCUGAGAUGGGGGAGGGGAAGGUGUAAAAGAGAGCUGGAUGGGGGCUGUGGGGACUGAGGGUCCUGGGAGGCUGGCCAGGGGCUCAGCAAGCGCCCACUUUGGGAGGCCUUGCCCUCUGGGCUGUGGUUGGACAGCACUAGGCCUGCAGGCUGGGCUGCCAGGAGGAAGAGCAGCUCCGGACCUCAGGCCCCCCCAGCAGGCGGCGAUGGAGGGUGAUGGGAGAAUUGACGAGUGCUCGCGGGGUCUCACUCGGGAAAGGGCCGGUUAACUCUGAGCAACUGGGAGCCUCGCUCCCACCCCAGUGCCUGGAAACACAAACAGUAUUUUAUUGAGCCUUGGCUGCCGGGGCUCUGGUUUCAGGAAAAGCCUCAGUCCUGCAUUUGUGAAUUUUUAAGGAGGCAAACAAGGUGAAUUUGACCUUCCUAGGAGUGGGAGUUAGGGAAAAUUCAGGCUGCCCUACCAAGCCCUUGGAACCGUGCAGCAGGGGUCAGGGGAGGGAUGGGCAAAGGCGGUUUGGCCCAUGGAGCAGGUCUCCUGGUCCUCCCGGAGCACGGGGGGCGGGGAGCUCCAGCUCUUCAUCAAGCGCCCUUUGGGGUUUCCAACUGUUUUCUGUUGUUCUCUGUGUGUCUUUUCCCCUUUUGCCUGGGGGCGGGGGCUGGAGGGGAACAUACCUCUUAUCUACAUCACUCGGGUCUCAUGUCUGAAGGGCCUGUCUCACCUGCCACCUACCUGGCCUUGGCCUCGACAUCUGAGCGCCUCAUCACCUCCUCUCCACAUGCCCAGGGGUGCCCCUCCCAAGGCUGGCUGGGCAGGUCCCACGGACUAGGCCCCAGGAGGAGCAGUGGGCUUCCCCCAGGAAAGAGCAGAGCCAGCACUGCCUGCCUAGGGAGGGCACCCACUACCAGGCAUGGCUGGUGGCUCCGUUUAAAGAAAUCUUUGUCCAUGUGGGAGUGGGAGGUGCUUCCCCAUCCUGCCUGGAAGCCACGUCCUGGCUCUUACCGUGGACUCUGCAACAGCCGUGGUGGCCACAUGAAGAUGGAGGAACCUGGUGGCUCAGGGGCCCCUGAUGUCACCGCCUCCAAGGCAACGGGACUGGGCAGGGCAGCUCCUCAGGAAGGAUGAUCCCACCUGCACGGGUCAGCCCUGCAGGGGGACAAGGCCCACCACAACCCCACCUCAGGCCACCAACUGGACCUGUCCUGCCAAGAAGGUCCCUUCCAAUUUGUCCGGCAGCUGGUUCCCUGGAUACAGCCCAGACGCAGCAUCAUCCUCAUGUUCACCUCUGCUGUGCCCUACUUCCCCCGUAAAUGACAACUGUGUAGUCACCCACGCCGGGCAAGAGAACAUAGGUGCCACCUGGCGGGCCACACUUUUCAGGGGCCGUGCCUCGGGCAGGCCCGGCUCUCUGUUGUCCCGCAGCCCUCAGGGCUGGCGGUGGCUGCUCAGUGCCUAGGGAGUGCCCUUGCCACACAGCUGGGCAGCGAGCAUGACUCAGCGUUUACACUCAACCAGCCGCACAGGCUCCAGAGGGGAAGUUCUCUGGGGUCCUUCUAUGAGAGAGCAUCCUGUCUGCAGCCCUGUUCUGGCUCCUUCCACAUCAUUCAUGCAUUCAUCCCACGAGGACUAUGGUACCGUGGGCUCGCUCUAGGGAAGCAAGGCAGGAGCGCACUGGGGCUACUUGGAUUCCCGGGGCAGACACAUAUGUACCCUGCACACCCUCAAAUGAGCAAAGCCACCCCACUGGCCCCUGGGUGAGGCCAUGUGGACCCCCACACCUUUGGGGCCGGCUGGGCAAACCUUGAACCCCCAAUUUCUGCGUGGCCUUUGGCUGCCCUCCUUCUCCAAGGCGUGACUCUUACUCCAGAGACUCAGGCGAGCACGUGUCCCUUACCUUAUUUUCUCUCAAUCAAACUGAAACCCAUUGUGAUCCCCCAUAGUCCAGUGCGGUCUCUGUUAUUAUUACGGGUGUCUCCCUUCCUCCCCGUGCCCAGGACAGGCCAUGAGCCAGAGAUACAAGGGGCCCCAGGCAAGAUGCAGGGCUCUCUGCUCCUGGCUCUUUAUCGUCGUCGGGACACCCUUUGUCCAAACUCAAGGAAUCCCGGGAGGUCUGGCUUUGCCGCUUUGGCUGGGACUCAGGUACCUGGGCAUACCUGCAUCUGUGCCCCCUCUUCGUCCCAGUGAGACGGACCCUCAGUAUCCCCCCCAACAUAGAACAGGAAGGUCUCAAGCCAGCCCCCUCCUCCAGUUCAAUCACCCUCCCUCACAUCCACCCAGAGAAGUCCAGACCUGUGGCCACUUCCAUGCCCUCUCCAGACCAGGAGACACCUGCUGCUGACCUCGUGGAAAACUUAGAUUUUGACAUUCUGAUGCUUCGGAAGUGGUGGCUCCUCCUCCUUCACCCCUCCGCCACCUGUGGGCCUCCUCUCUGCAUCUCAAGAGAACAACCAGAUCUUUGGGCUCCUGGGGUGUGUGCCAUGCAAUUUAGACGAAGUGCUUUGAAAAUAUGCCAUUCAGUCUCUGACUAGGAAAAUAAGUCUGACCUGAUAGGUCCGAUGUCAUCAGCUCUUCAACAUGAGACAAAAGAGGGGAUUUUAUGUUUUGAGUCAUUAGAAUGAUAUAAUAAUUUUCUGAAUUGACAUCUGGAUGUUGAAAUUAGGAUGGUGCAAAAGGGGUCCAGGGCCUCAGGCUGGGCGCAGCAGCCAGCUCCCAAUGACGCAGAAGCUGCUUCAAAACCCCCUCAACAAAGAGGGGCACAUGCAAGUCACCAAAGUGGGAAGCCUUCACCAAGGCCACACCCAAAGUCUACUGAUUGUCUGUCCAAAGUUCGUUGAUUCCUGGCCAUGAACAAGCACAAUAGAAAAAGACACAGGGUCCUAGUGGCUACAAGUCAAUGUGAAUUGGCACAUGGUCUAGCAGUUUUAAAAUCUGACAGUAGAGUAUGGCAAUGGGCAAGGGCCAAGAAGUCCUGAGAUGGGAGGUCAGCGCUCUAACUGGGCUCAGUGGAGGUCUGUGACCAGUGUCUGGACACUAGCUACAGGGGACCGGGCAGAGGAUUCUGGGCAGAAGGAAAAUGUCUAAAAGUACUUUGGGAGGGUAAAGGACAGGGGCCUUAUUUAAAAUAAAGACUGAAGGAUAAUAAGUGUC